CGAAAGCCUGACGGAGCAACGCCGCGUGUGGGAAGAAGGCCUUUGGGCUGUCAACCACUUUUCUCAGGGAAGAAGCUCUGACGGUACCUGAGGAAUCAGCCUCGGCUAACUCCGUGCCAGCAGCCGCGGUAAUACGGAGGAGGCAAGCGUUAUCCGGAAUCAUUGGGCGUAAAGCGUCCGCAGGGGGCUCAUCAAGUCUGCUGUCAAAGACCGAGGCUCAACCUCGGGUCGGCAGUGGAAACUGGAUAGCUAGAGGUCGGUAGGGGCAAAGGGAAUUCCCAGUGUAGCGGUGAAAUGCGUAGAUAUUGGGAAGAACACCGGUGGCGAAAGCGCUUUGCUGGACCGAACCUGACCCUCAGGGACGAAAGCUAAGGUAGCG
This 379-nucleotide ribosomal RNA is filed under the name uncultured cyanobacterium. Its description in RNAcentral is "bacterial SSU rRNA". It matches the Rfam family "Bacterial small subunit ribosomal RNA", at positions 376 to 770 of the family's 1533-position model. The record is from RNAcentral. Lineage: Bacteria; Bacillati; Cyanobacteriota.